RNAcentral lists this transfer RNA (87 nucleotides) under Hyphomicrobiaceae bacterium. RNAcentral describes it as "tRNA-Leu". It matches the Rfam family "tRNA". From Rfam's summary of the family: Transfer RNA (tRNA) molecules are approximately 80 nucleotides in length. Their secondary structure includes four short double-helical elements and three loops (D, anti-codon, and T loops). RNAcentral also lists the same sequence under 1 other name. Lineage: Bacteria; Pseudomonadati; Pseudomonadota; Alphaproteobacteria; Hyphomicrobiales; Hyphomicrobiaceae. The record is from RNAcentral.
GCCCCAGUGGCGGAAUUGGUAGACGCGCCAGAUUCAAAAUCUGGUUCAGGCGACUGAGUGCCCGUUCGAUUCGGGCCUGGGGCACCA